Molecule: ribosomal RNA, 497 nt
Filed under: uncultured bacterium
Lineage: Bacteria
Description: partial 16S ribosomal RNA
Rfam family: Bacterial small subunit ribosomal RNA
Source: RNAcentral
GAUGAACGCUGGCGGCGUGCCUAAUACAUGCAAGUCGAGCGAACGGACGAGAAGCUUGCUUCUCUGAUGUUAGCGGCGGACGGGUGAGUAACACGUGGAUAACCUACCUAUAAGACUGGGAUAACUUCGGGAAACCGGAGCUAAUACCGGAUAAUAUUUUGAACCGCAUGGUUCAAAAGUGAAAGACGGUCUUGCUGUCACUUAUAGAUGGAUCCGCGCUGCAUUAGCUAGUUGGUAAGGUAACGGCUUACCAAGGCAACGAUGCAUAGCCGACCUGAGAGGGUGAUCGGCCACACUGGAACUGAGACACGGUCCAGGCUCCUACGGGAGGCAGCAGUAGGGAAUCUUCCGCAAUGGGCGAAAGCCUGACGGAGCAACGCCGCGUGGGUGAUGAAGGUCUUCGGAUCGUAAAACUCUGUUAUUAGGGAAGAACAUAUGUGUAAGUAACUGUGCACAUCUUGACGGUACCUAAUCAGAAAGCCACGGCUAACUACGUG